UACGUAGGGGGCUAGCGUUGUCCGGAAUCAUUGGGCGUAAAGAGCGUGUAGGCGGCCAGACAGGUCCGUUGUGAAAACUGGAGGCUUAACCUCCAGACGUCGAUGGAAACCGUCUGGCUAGAGUCCGGAAGAGGAGAGUGGAAUUCCUGGUGUAGCGGUGAAAUGCGCAGAUAUCAGGAAGAACACCCGUGGCUAAGGCGGCUCUCUAGUACGGUACUGACGCUGAGACGCGAAAGCGUGGGGAGCGAACAGG
RNAcentral lists this ribosomal RNA (253 nucleotides) under uncultured bacterium. Its description in RNAcentral is "partial 16S ribosomal RNA". It matches the Rfam family "Bacterial small subunit ribosomal RNA", at positions 524 to 776 of the family's 1533-position model. The record is from RNAcentral.